AGUGAACGCUGGCGGUAGGCCUAACACAUGCAAGUCGAACGGCAGCACAGUAAGAGCUUGCUCUUACGGGUGGCGAGUGGCGGACGGGUGAGGAAUACAUCGCAAUCUACUUUUUCGUGGGGGAUAACGUAGGGAAACUUACGCUAAUACCGCUUACGACCUACGGGUUAAAGCAGGGGAUCUUCGGACUUUGCGCGAGUGAAUGAGCCGAUGUCGGAUUAGCUAGUUGGCGGGGUAAAGGCCCACCAAGGCGACGAUCCGUAGCUGGUCUGAGAGGAUGAUCGGCCACACUGGAACUGAGACACGGUCCAGACUCCUACGGGAGGCAGCAGUGGGGAAUAUUGGACAAUGGGCGCAAGCCUGAUCCAGCCAUACCGCGUGGGUGAAGAAGGCCUUCGGGUUGUAAAGCCCUUUUGUUGGGAAAGAAAAGCAGCAGGUUAAUACCCCGCUGUUCUGACGGUACCCAAAGAAUAAGCACCGGCUAACUUCGUG
This 492-nucleotide ribosomal RNA is filed under the name uncultured bacterium. Its description in RNAcentral is "partial 16S ribosomal RNA". It matches the Rfam family "Bacterial small subunit ribosomal RNA", at positions 29 to 507 of the family's 1533-position model. The record is from RNAcentral.